CAUUGUGAAUUUCCAUGGCAGCAUUGGACGCGACCAUUGAACACGGAUCGUCGAUCGAGUCGUCUACCAAGAGAGUGGGUCAAGGUGGCCGUCUUCGUGAUCUCCUUAGUUCCGCGUUCUACUGGCGGGUUUCGUUCAUUCGUUUAUUCGGUGAAUAUGGAUAGUGUGUGCAUCGACAUGUAUACACGCGUGUUCCUUCACUUAUAUGUAUGUGCGACACGAUUGUAUGUAGGUACGGAUAUAACCUAUGUGCCGCGUCAUCAACCACUGCGAACCUACACCGUCAUCAGAAGCGAAAGAUGCUGGCGUCGCCAAAUCUUCCCUUUCUCCACCUUCUAUACGCGGCGAGAGUAAACGUGACGUCACAAGCUUAAAGCUGCUAGACGAAAUGAGAAGAACCGAUUGAUUCGUCCUUUUCGUUUCGUUUAUCUUCGUACUCUCCUUACUCGAAAGUUGUCUAUAUAAGUGAUGAAGAAUCUUGGACUCAAUGAAGGAAUGAAUUAUUAUUGGUACUGUUACUGAUGGUUGCAUAUAUUCUUGAAGCAUUUUGAAGGAAUUGUUAUUUUUGUGAUAUUUUCUUAGACUUUAAUCCGAGGCCUAACCUAAAUAUUUUUUUGAGAUAUUACAGAAAAAAAUUAUUUUUAUUAUUAUAAAUAUCUAUGACCGCCUAUUGUAAUAUCUUUAUGCAUUGUUAUAUAUAAUCAAUGAAAUGACAUCAUACCACCAACAUAGCAAUGCAAACAUAAGAACAAUCUUGAUAUUAUCAUACGUGUGUGGUCUGUGAUAAUUUAUAAUCGUGAUAUCAAUCCCUCGAAAGAAAUACGAUUAAUAGUUGUAAACAAGAUGUAAGAAAACAAUUCAUUAUACACUGGAAACAUUUUAACAUCUCCUACUGAAAGAUUCGAAACAUUUAUAUAAGAUCCGAGACUCUUAUAUACACUUGCCACUGUUUAUCUAAAAUUUACCGACACACAAAAGGUAGGUGAACGAGAUGAUGCACGUACAGAACAGAAUCGUUAUGUACUUACAUUACAUACGACCACUGAUGGAAGAGGCAGUAGCGUCCACGUCACUCGGUAUCGCUUGCCAAUUGGCUGGGUGCUCGAAACGUUUCAUAAUGCGUUCGAACGGAGUUAUAAAACGAGCGAAACUCGAGCCUGCAACCGCUCUACGGCUCUCUUAUCUUCUCUUUUCGAAACGAUGCCAGAUGCACGUAUAUACAUGAAUAUUAACACGUUCGGUCAACUCAUCUUCCCUUUCUUUCUUCAUAGAAGAAAUCGACAAAAAUGAAGAACGAAUUCAACAAUUUGAAGAACGAAUAAAUGAUAAUUUAAAAAUGGUGAAGAGAAGAAGUUAAAAGAUAGAGAUUAUUAAAAAAUUGCUCACAUAAUUGAAUUGAUGAUUUUGGAUGUAUUUGAAACUGUAUUUAAAGCUAAAUAUUAUCUCUGUGAGAUAGAUAUGAUAUUAUAAUAUUAAUAGAUACUACUCAUAUCACUAUAAGUUUUUAAUGAUAUGAAUAUAUUUGCGUACAAUUCUUGAAAAUUAUUCUUGAGAUAUUUUUUAUAUGAUAAAAUUCAUUGAAUAAAAAUUGUCAGAUUAUUUUCAAUGCAGAGGAAUAUUUGCAAGGAGUACUUUCAAAUAUGGAAAGGAAAAUUUUAAUCUUAAAUAUAUCAGUUUUCUAAAGAUUGUUCUUGAAAUAUAUAUUGAAAUAUAUAUUCUUGAAAUAUAAUUUGUUAAUAAUGCAAUGGAUAAUGCAUUUAUGAAAAAUAAAUUUCAAGAGUUUUAUUAUCAAUUGUAUUCAUGUAAACAUUAUGGUAUAAGUUUCUGGUUCACAUCUAUCCUCAAUAAUCGAUUAAACGUAUAAUAGCGUUA
Long non-coding RNA from Apis mellifera (honey bee), 1872 nucleotides. RefSeq lists it as uncharacterized. The transcript has 4 exons. The record is from RefSeq and is a predicted model, not a curated record. NCBI's taxonomy places the organism in Eukaryota, Metazoa, Arthropoda, Insecta, Hymenoptera, Apidae.